RNAcentral lists this ribosomal RNA (497 nucleotides) under uncultured bacterium. RNAcentral describes it as "partial 16S ribosomal RNA". It matches the Rfam family "Bacterial small subunit ribosomal RNA", at positions 28 to 507 of the family's 1533-position model. The record is from RNAcentral.
GAUGAACGCUGGCGGCGUGCCUAAUACAUGCAAGUCGAGCGAACAGACGAGGAGCUUGCUCCUUUGACGUUAGCGGCGGACGGGUGAGUAACACGUGGUUAACCUACCUAUAAGACUGGGAUAACUUCGGGAAACCGGAGCUAAUACCGGAUAAUAUUUCGAACCGCGUUGUUCGAUAGUGAAAUAUGGCUUUUCUAUCACUUAUAGAUGGACCUGCGCCGUAUUAGCUAGUUGGUAAGGUAACGGCUUACCAAGGCAACGAUGCGUAGCCGACCUGAGAGGGUGGUCGCAUAGACGGGAACAGAGAAAGGGUCCAGACUCCGACGGUAGGCAACAGUCGGGAAUCCUACGCGAUGGGGGAAAGGCUGACGGUGCACAGUCGCGUGAGUGCUGAAGGUCUUAUGAUCGUUAAACUCUGUUAUUAGGGAAGAACAAAAGUGCAAGUAACCGUGCACGUAUUGACGGUACCUAAUCAGAAAGCCACGGCUAACUCCGUG